This 468-nucleotide ribosomal RNA is filed under the name uncultured soil bacterium. RNAcentral describes it as "bacterial SSU rRNA". It matches the Rfam family "Bacterial small subunit ribosomal RNA", at positions 26 to 520 of the family's 1533-position model. The record is from RNAcentral.
AGGACGAACGCUGGCGGCGUGCCUAAUGCAUGCAAGUCGAGCGACGAAUAGGUGAGGGUAACCAAGCCUAUUACGGAGCGGCGAACGGGUGAGUAACACGUGAGCAACCUGCCCCGAAGACCGGGAUAGCCCAGGGAAACUUGGAUUAAUACCGGAUAUCCUCCUUUGAUCGCAUGAUCGUUUGAGGAAAUGCUUUUACGCUUCGGGAUGGGCUCGCGGCCUAUCAGCUUGUUGGUGGGUAACGGCCUACCAAGGCGUCGACGGGUAGCUGGUCUGAGAGGACGAUCAGCCACACUGGGACUGAGACACGGCCCAGACUCCUACGGGAGGCAGCAGCAGGGAAUUUGCGCAAUGGGCGAAAAGCCUGACGCAGCAACGCCGCGUGGGGAUGAAGGCCUUCGGUGUAAACCCUUUAGAGGACGAAUUGACGGUACUCAGAAAAGCCCCGACCAACACGUGCAGCAGCGC